Molecule: long non-coding RNA, 203 nt
Filed under: Homo sapiens (human)
Lineage: Eukaryota; Metazoa; Chordata; Mammalia; Primates; Hominidae
Description: HSALNT0369687
Source: RNAcentral
AUGAAUUUUACUUCCUUCCCUCUGUUUUGCAUGUGCUCUCUUGCCCUUCUGCCUUCUCCAUGGGAUGACACAGGAAGAAGACCAUCACCAGAGCAUCUUAGGUUGGAUUUCCUAGGAACAGAACCUGUGACAGGAAUUCAGGUGGAGCUGUUUUAGGCUGGGUGCUGUGGCCCAGGCCUGGAAUCCCAGCACUUCAGAAGGCC